UUUUUCUCAUUUUUGUCUUCCCCCCAAAUUUUCCCUCCCUCUCUCCAUCUACCCCAAAAUCUUCCUACCGUCGACCACCACAACACUACCCGCCACCGUCGACCACCACGCACGACCCGCCACCGUCGUUCUCCAUCUCCGACAGAGCGACCGCCGACGAGGUCCCCCACCAUCUGACGACCCAUACCCAACCACCGGCAGUCUUCCAGUUCCGGCCCUUUUCCAUCUCCGGCCGUCUUCUAGUUCCGGCAAACCAGCCUUUUUGUUUUUUUUCAGCUACCGUGACCCAGCUUCGCCACCGUCGAUCAUCACGCACGACCCACCACUAGGUACUGCCAGGCGCCAUCUCCGACGACCCAUACCCAUCUCUGUCUCCCUCCACGACGACCCAUCUCCAUCUCUUCCCACCGAAUAGAUCUGACGAGCCCAACCAUCAAAAGAGAUCUAGAAUCUCAGUUCCCUCCACGACAAUCCAUCUCCAUCUCUUCCCACCGUACAGAUCCGACGAGCCUAGCCAUCAAAAGAGAGAGUCGGUGAUUGUGAUUUUUUUGAAUGGGCUGAUAAAGAGAUGUCUAGAUACGAGAAGAGAUUAGCGCAACAUUUGAAAGAGAUGGAGGAGAGAAGACAGGCUGACAAUGACAAAGUUGAGGAAUUAAUUGAAAAAAAAAAUGCAAGGAACAAUUGGUGCAACAUUUGAAUGAAAUGGAAGAGAAAUUUGAGGAAUUGAUUGAAAAAAAAAUGUAAGGAACAAUUAGCGCAACAUAAUGGGAAAAUGUUUCGUGUUUUGUUAUUAGUUGUCAUUUUGCUUUUAGCAUUUUAUUGUUGUAGUUAUAGUGAACCUAGACAUAUUAACUUAAUGUUAAAAUGAAAUUAUGGAAACAAUUCAGUUGUA
Long non-coding RNA from Alnus glutinosa, 892 nucleotides. RefSeq lists it as uncharacterized. NCBI's taxonomy places the organism in Eukaryota, Viridiplantae, Streptophyta, Magnoliopsida, Fagales, Betulaceae. The record is from RefSeq and is a predicted model, not a curated record. The transcript is spliced from 3 exons.